This 545-nucleotide ribosomal RNA is filed under the name Sciurillus pusillus (Neotropical pygmy squirrel). RNAcentral's name for it is "partial 16S ribosomal RNA". It matches the Rfam family "Bacterial large subunit ribosomal RNA", at positions 1824 to 2596 of the family's 2925-position model. Lineage: Eukaryota; Metazoa; Chordata; Mammalia; Rodentia; Sciuridae. The record is from RNAcentral.
CACUCUAGCAUUAAUAGUAUUAGAGGCACCGCCUGCCCAGUGACUAUAAGUUAAACGGCCGCGGUAUCCUGACCGUGCAAAGGUAGCAUAAUCAUUUGUUCUCUAAUUAAGGACUUGUAUGAAAGGCUAGACGAGGGCUUAACUGUCUCUUUCUUCCAAUCAGUGAAAUUGACCUUCCCGUGAAAAGGCGGGAAUAACCAAAUAAGACGAGAAGACCCUAUGGAGCUUAAAUUUAUUACUUCAAAUACCACACAAACAACCCAAUAUGGAUUAAAAAAGUAUUAAUGAAUUAAAAAUUUCGGUUGGGGUGACCUCGGAGAAUAAAACAACCUCCGAAUGAUUAACAACCAUGACAAACCUGUCUAAGUACAAAAUCAUAAAUUGAUCCAAACUAUUGAUCAACGAAACAAGUUACCCUAGGGAUAACAGCGCAAUCCUAUUCAAGAGUCCAUAUCGACAAUAGGGUUUACGACCUCGAUGUUGGAUCAGGACAUCCAAAUGGUGCAGCAGCUAUUAAUGGUUCGUUUGUUCAACGAUUAAAGUCC